This 1304-nucleotide long non-coding RNA is filed under the name Salvia miltiorrhiza (redroot sage). Its description in RNAcentral is "long non-coding RNA (SMIL_LNC008589)". Lineage: Eukaryota; Viridiplantae; Streptophyta; Magnoliopsida; Lamiales; Lamiaceae. The record is from RNAcentral.
GAAAUUUAAAUUAGCAUUCGAAUAGUCAUAACUUAACAAAAUAUUCAAGUGUUCACAAAUAUAUAAUAGAAAUAUUCAAGUAUUCAAAAUACAAAAACACAACAUAAUCAAGAUGAAUACAAAAAUACAACAUAAUCAAGAUGAUGGCAUCCUGCAAUUGCUGCUCCACGUCCAUAAAUCGUUGAGGAUCGACAAGAGGGCCCUGAAAGUAAGAUGUACUUAAGAAUUUGAGCAACAAAUAUAAUAAUUGAAUAAGUAAUUAAAACUUUACUACAUACUCCAAUCCGUCUAUAAGGAAUCGCUAACCAUGGGCGAGGCAGGUCGAGGAAAAUAGAAUCUACCCUGCCCAAGAAUGAACUAAUGACUAAAGUAAUGACUAAAAUGAACACAGAAUGAACGCAUACACAUGUCAUUAUCAUGAAAGAGUAAAGUAGUAAUAUUUUAAACAAACAUAAUCAUAGCAAACUGUUUCAGCUUACACAUGAUAGCAGCCUUGUACAGUUGUACUGCUUCUCUUCCAUUGCAUUUGAUAGCAGCCUUGUCAUAUGCCCUGAAACACAUUGGCAUAAAUUUUUUAUUAAGAGAUUACACCAGAUGAUCAAGCCAUCAAAGGCAAACACAGUUGCUGAUACUAAUGAAAACUAAUGUUGACCUUGCAACUUCUAUCUCACUAACAAACAAUCCAAGAUAGAUAUACUUGCACACAACCAUCAUCUAAAUAAUCACAAGUGGAGAGUUAAGAAAUUGGAACUCAUGUGAAGAAAUCCAAUAUUUUAACCUCAAUCAACUACAACUCCUUAACCCUCAAUAUUUUAACCUCGUUAAAACGAGUGAGGAAAUAGAAUGAAACUCAACAAUCACCACAUAGAAAAGUCAAGAUUAGCAUGUCAAUUCCAUUACAAAAGGCUACAACAGAAGCAAAAAUAAAUAAGAAAUUAGUGCUCGUCUUCAUCCAACUCAACCAAAAACAUCUACAACAAUUGCAGACAAUAUCAGAACCAAAGACCAAAGAAUUGCAACACAUAACAUAAAACCAAAAUAUAAUACUCAUGAGAUGCAGACACCACAUCAUAAUUCAUAUAUAUGCCCAAGCUUUGGCCGACAAUUUCUACAAUCUACUAAUUAUAGCAGCUACUGAAAUUAAAUUAAAAAAUCAAAAAAUUGAGGGUGAAAUUAAGUUUUGGAGUAAUUAAUUAACUGAAAUUAAAAAUAAAUAAAUUAAUACACACCUUUGAUUGGGAGACGGUGGUGGCUGACUGCAAAUCCUCGGCGGUGGCUUCAAAUCUAACCUCAAAUCNGUCCCU